UGAGGAAUAUUGCGCAAUGGGGGCAACCCUGACGCAGCAACGCCGCGUGAGUGAGGAAGGUUUUCGGACCGUAAAGCUCUGUCGAGCGGGAAGAAAUGCAUGGUGGCUAAUAUCCAUUAUGCUUGACGGUACCGCUAAAGGAAGCACCGGCUAACUCCGUGCCAGCAGCCGCGGUAAUACGGGGGGUGCAAGCGUUGUUCGGAAUCAUUGGGCGUAAAGAGCGUGUAGGCGGCUGGAUAAGUCAGAUGUGAAAGCCCUGGGCUUAACCCGGGAAGUGCAUUUGAAACUGUUGAGCUUGAGUAAGGGAGAGGAAAGUGGAAUUCCUGGUGUAGAGGUGAAAUUCGUAGAGAUCAGGAGGAACACCGGUGGCGAAGGCGACUUUCUGGCCCUAUACUGACGCUGAGACGCGAGAGCGUGGGUAGCAAACA
Molecule: ribosomal RNA, 428 nt
Filed under: uncultured prokaryote
Description: bacterial SSU rRNA
Rfam family: Bacterial small subunit ribosomal RNA
Source: RNAcentral